AAUACAAAGCUGUUCUUUAAUAAGUGCUGUAAGCAUUUUGCAGUUUUCUAGGGAAGAAAAGAAAUAAGCUACUGGAGAAUGGGGCAGCGGGCUGGCAUGUGAACAAGACUGCCCCAGUCUGCUGAGGGGCCUUCUCAGGCCUUUGUUCCAGGGUUCAUCAAGACAGUCAGCUCCAGCGCUCAACCCAUAAGGGAGUAUCCCUUCUCUCCCACCUCCGGGACCACAGAGGUCUCUUGUCACUCAGUGUGCUAGGUAAGAGUUCAGGAGACCUUGUUUUAGUCCGGCCUCUGCAGCGGGCCUAUUGUGUGCCUCGGAGCAAAGCCGUUCUUUUCUGGGCCUGUUUCCUGCACAGUACAUAAGGUAGGACUCAGAAGUUUUCCAAACCUCUUCCUAUCUGCCCACUGCAAAAUUCUCUUCCUGUAGCGACAUGUCAAGUUUAUCCUGUCUAAUCCUAGCAAGAAUUUCUAGAGAUCUCCGUGGUCUGCCCCAGCAGUGGCACCGAACUCUACAGCGCCAUGCCAGGAAGGCCUUUGUCCUUCCAGGGUGCCAGUAAUUUACCCUCACAGGGUGUCACGUUAUCAGCGCAGAGACAGCAACCUGCUCGGGCGUGCCCCGCCGCAGUUUAGAGUCCCGCUCCACCUGGCGGUCUGGGGACACAUUCCUGGGAGGGAAACCUCGGGCGUAGGAGAGAAGGGCGAAGUCCGACCAUGGAUCAGCGGAGAGUAUCCGCCCGUGAUGACGUGAACUGCAAGCUAUCUCGCUUGCAAGUUCCGUAAACGCCCGGGAAGGGAGCUCCUGGGGGCGGGACCAGCACUGAAGCCCCACCCAGAGCUGACGUCGCGGGCGGAGGCGGAGCUAAGCGCGCAGCAUCUGGGUACUGGCUGACCGCUCGGCGCCAUGGCCGCGGACACGCGCGCCAAGGCCGUCACUCUGGACCUGAGACGUCGGCUGCUCAGCUCUUCCUGCAGACUCUUUUUUCCUGAGGAUCCUGUUAAGAUUAUCCGAGGCCAAGGGCAGUACCUGUACGAUGAGCAAGGGCGAGAGUACCUGGACUGUAUCAACAACGUGGCUCAUGAUGCCCCUCUUGCAGUUGGGCACUGCCACCCUACCGUGGUCCAAGCCGCACAUGAACAGAACCUAGUGCUCAACACCAACAGCCGCUACCUGCAUGACAACAUCGUGGACUAUGCCCAGAGGCUGUCGGAGACCCUGCCGGAGCAGCUCUCUGUGUUUUACUUCUUGAAUUCUGGGUCAGAAGCCAACGACCUGGCCUUGAGACUAGCUCGACAGUACACGGGACACCAGGAUGUGGUGGUAUUAGACCAUGCUUAUCAUGGUCACCUGAGCUCCCUGAUCGACAUCAGUCCCUACAAGUUCCGGAAUCUGGGUGGCCAGAAGGAAUGGGUCCAUGUGGCUCCUCUCCCAGACACCUACCGGGGCCCUUACAGGGAGGACCACCCCAACCCAGCAGAGGCCUAUGCCAACGAGGUGAAGCACGUCAUCAGCAGUGCACAGCAGAAGGGCAGGAAGACAGUUCUAAAGAACCAAUUUCCCAAGAUGACCAUAGUGGAGCAUGCCUUUAAUCCAGCACUUGGGAGACAGACAUAAGAAGAUCUCUGAGUUCAAGGCCAGCCUGGUCUACAGAGUGAGUUCAAUAUAGCCAGGGCUAUACAAAGAAACCCUGUCUCGAAAAACCAAAAGAUAAGUAAAUAUAAAAGAAGCAAUUUCCCAUUCCAUCAGCUGUCCAAUGUGCCAGAGAAGCCUCCAAAAAAGCCCCAAGAGUAAACACUAUGCGGAAAUCACACAUGGGUAAAGGGUUUUAGGUUAGACAGAUAUGCCCUCCAUGUCUGGAUUGAAGCAUCCUGAGAGCAAUAUGAAAAACAGAAAAAGGCAUCCCAUAAGACAGCAUCUUCAGUAGCCAGGGACAAGAAGUGGACUCAGAUGUGACAGCCAUGAGACAAUGGGGGUCACCAAGACAUGUUAAAGGAAGGUGUAGUUAAGGAUAGAACUACAUUUUUGUUCUAGGGAGGGUGAAACUAGUGCUGGUUACCACAUGGAGACAGGGGAGAAAAGGUUUAAGGUGGUGGUGGGUUGCAUAUGUGAAUUUAAUUGACUGGAGCAAGCCCAAGUACAAGGGGCUAGAGACAUUAAGAGGGUGAUGCAUACCCUUAGAUGUGACACAGCACGCAAAGGAAGGGGCACUGAACUGUCUCAUCCACAGAUCGCAGCCUUCUUCGCUGAGUCUCUGCCCAGUGUGAGUGGACAGAUCAUUCCUCCUGCUGGCUACUUCUCCCAGGUGGCUGAGUGAGUAGACGGGCAGGCUCUGCCCAAGGGAGGGCAAACUGUACCUGGGUUUCCUGGGGUCAAUUCCAAAUCCCAACUACAGUCCAGCCUGCCUGCCAGAAAUUUCUGAAACAAAACCCGUAAAGAAAUAAUGGCCCAGAGAAGGCCAACCAUAGGCCCAAGGUGAGGACUCAACCUCCCAGCUCCUUGUCACCUCAGCACAGCCCUGUUGGCCAUCUGUCCUCCACAGGCACAUCCACAGAGCCGGAGGGCUCUUUGUGGCAGAUGAGAUCCAGGUUGGUUUUGGCCGCAUAGGCAAGCACUUUUGGGCCUUCCAGCUGGAGGGAGAAGACUUUGUUCCCGACAUUGUCACCAUGGGCAAGUCCAUCGGCAAUGGUCACCCUGUUGCCUGCAUGGCCACUACCCAAGCUGUGUCAAGGGCAUUUGAAGCUACCGGUGUAGAAUACUUCAACACGGUGAGUAAAGUUGCAGGACAGGGCUCUACUACUGAAGCCUUCAGGGCUUACCACUGGACCCAGCAUACCAUCCUCCAGGAAGCUGCAGUUAGGGCAAGUUUUUUUGUAUAUGAGAAGGAAACGGACAGACACUCACUGUGUAGCCCUGACUGGACUGGCCUCAAGAUCCACCUAUCUGCCUCUCAAGUGCUACAAUUAAAGGUGUAUGUUAUCUCACCUGGCCCAAGUUAGAUGCUACUUUGACUCCUAAGGUUUCCUUCUCAGAGACGUGGAAACUUUUCUGGUGGUCAGCAUAGAGGAACUAAUGGAGUAGGAGAUUCAUCUGGACAGAGCAGGAAAGGAGCUGGGUAGUCACCAUGACUUCCCAUAAAAAGCCAAUUGAAUCCCCCCCACCCCCUGCCCCCAAAAACAGGGUUUCUCUGUGUAGCCCUGGCUGUCCUGGAACUCACUCUGUAGACCAGGCUGGCCUUGAACUCGGAAAUCCACCUGCCUCUGCCUCCCAAGUGCUGGGAUUAAAGGUGUGGGCCACCACCGCCUGUCUGCCAAUUGAAUUUUUUUUUUUAAAGACUUAUUAUAUAUAAAUACACUGUAGCUGUCUUCAGGCACUCCAGAAGAGGGCGUCAGAUCUCGUUAUGGAUGGUUGUGAGCCACCAUGUGGUUGCUGGGAUUUGAACUCAGGACCUUUGGAAGAGCAGUCAGUGCUCUUAUCCACUGAGCCAUCUCACCAGCCCGCCAAUUGAAUGUUUAAGGAAGUAAGCAUUUGGCAAGAUGUCAGACAAGCAAUGAGGGUCACUGAGCAAGGGAAGUGGAGACUGGUCUGGUUUUUUUCAGCAGACUUUACUCUGCCUAAGUGACAGUCUCUGCCAUUGGUGGCCUUGAUGUUAGGGAAUCACAAUUCCUAAACUCAAUUGUGAUACUAGCUUAGUGGGCACAGUGUGUCAUGGUCCACUAUGAGCAGAAGAGACAUCCCAGGCAGGAAGUGGACAUAGGGUUUAGGGACAAGUAGAGGGAACAGAGAAGUCAGGAGCAAAGUCUGUAGGCAAGCAAUAGUUAGCCAGCUACAGAGGCUUGUUACCUGGAAAGCAGAAGGCCCAAUGGGCCCUGACCCUGACUCCCCUAAGUGCAUAAGCUGAAUUCAGUCCUUGUCUUUGUAUAGCCCUCCUCUAGUUAGCUGGGUACUUGGUUAUUUCUGUUAAGGCUUUUUACAUUUAUUUGUAUAUGAGUGCAUAUGUGGUUACACACGUGUAGAAAUCAGAGGUCAUUGGUUCCUUCUGGGGAUCUAAUGCAGUCCACCAGGUUUGGCAACAGGCACUUUAACCAGAUGAGCUACCUCACUGGCUCUGUUUUACUUAAACUCAUGAGAAGUUCUCACCUCAGACUAGGCUCCUGACUCUACCUUGCAUCUAUCCUAGCAUUUGUCCCUUAGCAGGUAACCCUGAACCCAUUUGAACCCAUGUUGUCUGUUCUAGUUGCUUUUUGGCUUUACUUGAACUCUCAUAAUGCAUGCUAACUCUAGAGAUUCUGUGGAUUUGUCUUCACCUGACAUUACACUGUUUGUUACUCUCAUUUCCCCUGCUUUAUAAAUAACAUCCACACUUGACUUACUCAUAGAUAUAAAUGUGCCUUGAGGCUGUCCUUCUGUCUUGUGAACAUCGCUACUGUAAGAAUUCUUAACAGCCUGUUCUCCAUGUGCAGAAAGAUCAGUUACAAACUAACCCAGAGGUGGAACUGCUAGGCCAGAGGGUGUGUCUAGACUCAGUUUUAGAAGAUAAUGACAUUUUCCCCAAGUAGUUUACAGGUCAAAACAAAUCACCAGUAGUGUAUUGUUUGGGGCUUGUUUUGUGACUCUUAUUGUGAAGAUCACCUGACUUGAUGGCAAUCUUCCUGUCCCAGCUGAGCACACACUACAGGAAUCCUUCAUCCAACUCAUCAACACUAAGUUUUUGUCAGUCAAGGGAAGUCAAGGGAAAUAGGAAAUAGUGAUCCAUGUCAUGUCGUUUUGAUGUUCCCCAAAUUCAGAUUGUGAAGCAUCCCUUGAUUUAUAGUUUUAAUAGAUUUUAUGUACUUUGUUGUGUACCUGAAAGACAGUAACUUGCAGGAAUCAGUUUUCUCCUUCCAUCAAUGUGGGUUUCACAGAUAGAACUUCAGGCCUCUUUUUCCAGUCCUCUUCCAGUUUACUAUCCACGUGUUCCCUCUUCUGUGAAAUAAUGUUGUGUGUCUUUUUUCCAUUCUCUAGUUGCUAGUGGUUGUGGAAACUUCUGUGUAUAUGCAUGUCUGUUUGUCUGUCUCUGUGUAGAAUGGGGAGAUACCCAUUUGAGGACAACAAUCUAGGCGAGGUUAGUGUCUUGUUUUAGUGUAUGCUGUGCAUAUGUUUAGCCAGUUGGCAGCAGUCUUCACUUCCUUAUAUAUAUUUUUAAGAAACCACAUAAACAUUAACUUUCAAUCAUCUUUUUGUUUUUGAGACCGAUUUAUGUUAGAACUUAAUAUGUAGACCAGGCAGCUUCAAACUCAGAUCUUCCUGCUUCUGCCUCCCAAAUUCUGGGAUUAAAAGCAUACACUACCAUGCUACUCGGUACAUUUGGCUUUUUACUUUAAUUCCAGGAAUCAAACUCAUUGGGCUUGCAUGGCUCUUACAGAGCUCCCUGGCCAUCAGUUUUAUAUGAAACCAGGUAUGGUGGUGCAUACCUUUAAAUCCAGCACUCAGGAGGAGGCAGAGGUAGAUGGCCUACAUGAGUUCUAGUGAAGUCCUACCUCAAAAUAAAUAAAUAAAGGUAAAAAAAAUACAUUUUAGAUGAUCCAAUUUGUCAAAUUUGGGGGAGGGGAGGAGGGUAAUUGUUGCUUAUCCUUUAAGGAAUCACUACUUAACCGCAAAAGAAAAAAAAAAUCCUAUGUAAAAGUAGCUAUCUUACUAACCUGGCUGUGAGGCACUUACAAUACAGUUGAAUAACUUCAGGGCACUGAACAUCCUGUUCAAUGCAUGGAAAUGUUUAUAUUUAUCUGUCUACAAUGAUGUUUGUAGGCUCAAAUUGUAGCUCAGUAGUACAGCACAUGUUUAGCAAGUACAAAGCCCUUGGUUUGUUUGAUUUCAGAAUCACAAGAAACAUCUUAAUACAUCAGGGCAGUGCUAACGCCCAAAUACUCUGCCACUAAGCUACAUCCCUUAGGUUGUAUCUUGUUCUCCUCCUUCCUAACACAGUCAAACACACAAAAGACAAAAUCAAACAAAUCCAUGAAGGACAAGAGAGUUCAGUCCAUAAAGCAGUUUGCCCUGCAAACAGGAGGACCAAGAACCCAUAUUAAAAAAACAAAAAAAACAAAAAAAAGCCAAGCUUUGUGGCACAGGCCUGUAAUCUCAGAACAAGGAAGGCAGUGACUGGGUUCCUGGGCUUGCUACACAGCCAGCAUAGUCUCUAAGUAUAGCCCGAGGUCCUAGUGAGAGAUUGUCCCCAAAACCAAGAUGGAUGUCUCCUGUUAACAUCCACAUCCAAGGUUAGGUUGGCAUUUCAUUUCUGCACCCAUAUGGAAUAUAUGCACACACACAUUUUGAAACAGGGUCUCACUAAAAACUGUUUGGGCUGGACCUAUGUGGACCAGCCACCUGCCUCUGCCUCUUGAAUGUUGCCGACAUUAAAUGCUUGCCCCUCACUAGGUCCUACUUCUUUCCCUUUUAAGACAGGGUUUCUCUGUGUAGCCUUAGCUGUCAUUCAGGAAUUAAAUCUGCAGACCAGGCUGGCCUCAAAAUCAGAGAUCCAAAAGCAUCUCCUUUCUGAGUGCAGGUAUUGAAGGCAUGUGCCAACACUGUCAAAUCCCCAAACCAUUGUCCAUUGGCUUGUUUAGCUUUUCAAAAGAUUUGGGAGGGGGGUUUACCCAUGUACCACUGACAUGCCUGGUGUCUAGAGGCAAGGAGACAGGGCUAGACCAGUUCUCUCUAGGUAUCUUGCUACCUGGCUAAGUUGAAGACCCAGGAAGACAAACAGAGUUCAUAAAGACAAUCCCAUCCAAGAGACCAGUUUAAGAAAGCCCGAAGUAUGAAGGCUUUGUGGGUCUGUGGCCUUCCCAAUUGUCCUUUUAUGAUAAUCCCACGGGAUCACAGUCCACUGGCAGAACAUCUGACAUUGUUAUCCCCUACCUCAGUUUGGUGGCAACCCCGUAUCCUGUGCUGUGGGGCUAGCAGUCCUAGAUGUCUUGAAAACAGAACAGCUCCAGGCUCACGCCACUAAUGUGGGCAGUUUCCUUCUGGAGCACCUCACCCAGCAGAAAGCCAAGCACCCUAUCAUUGGAGAUGUCAGGGGCACUGGACUCUUCAUCGGUGUGGAUCUCAUCAAAGAUGAGACCCUGAGGACACCAGCAACUGAAGAGGCGGAAUAUUUGGUCUCCAGGCUAAAGGAAAACUACAUUUUACUGAGCAUUGAUGGCCCUGGAAAGAAUAUUCUGAAGUUCAAGCCCCCAAUGUGCUUCAACGUUGACAAUGCACAACAUGUGGUAGCAAAGCUGGAUGACAUUCUAACAGACAUGGAAGAAAAAGUAAGAAGUUGUGAAACCCUGAGGAUCAAGCACCCCCCAGAAGAUACUCAUCCUACUCAAAUACUCCUAACAAGACAGCAAGAUUGACACCCACCUUACAGAUAAAACAAGUGUGUGAGGCUUCACUGGAUUGGUGAACUACUGAUAGGCUUUAUUUCUAAAUCAAAACAAGACCCAGUCAGACUUUUAUGCCUGAAAACUUUGAGGAUGGUGUACAUGCUUCAAAAGAACAUGUUUUAAAGACAGACCUGACAUACUCCCAUUUUUAAAAAAAAAAAAAAAAGGUAAAAAAUGAGCUGGCCAUGGCACAUGCCUUUAGUCUCAUCUCACUGGGAGGUAGAAACAGGCAGAACUCUUAAGUUUGAGACCAGCCUGGUUUUGUAUAGGGCAGCCAGGGCAGCAGUACGGUGAUCUCUCAAAAGGGGGUGGAAAGAUAAACUUUAUCUCUCCCUAUCAAGCUAUGACUUUUAUUUCAUCUGAAUUAAAGACACUGAAUAAUUUGAGUAUUUA
Molecule: RNA transcript, 7793 nt
Organism: Mus musculus (house mouse)
Lineage: Eukaryota; Metazoa; Chordata; Mammalia; Rodentia; Muridae
Gene: Phykpl
Gene name: 5-phosphohydroxy-L-lysine phospholyase
Exons: 11
Source: RefSeq, marked validated